AAGAACGCAGCGAAGUGCGAUACGUGGUGCGAAUUGCAGAAUCCCGUGAACCAUCGAGUUUUUGAACGCAAGUUGCGCCUGAGGCCAGCUGGCCGAGGGCACGUCCGCCUGGGCGUCAAGC
This 121-nucleotide ribosomal RNA is filed under the name Gymnadenia x densiflora. RNAcentral describes it as "partial 5.8S ribosomal RNA". It matches the Rfam family "5.8S ribosomal RNA", at positions 39 to 154 of the family's 154-position model. From Rfam's summary of the family: 5.8S ribosomal RNA (5.8S rRNA) is a component of the large subunit of the eukaryotic ribosome. It is transcribed by RNA polymerase I as part of the 45S precursor that also contains 18S and 28S rRNA. Lineage: Eukaryota; Viridiplantae; Streptophyta; Magnoliopsida; Asparagales; Orchidaceae. The record is from RNAcentral.